RNAcentral lists this unclassified non-coding RNA (241 nucleotides) under Hevea brasiliensis (rubber tree). Lineage: Eukaryota; Viridiplantae; Streptophyta; Magnoliopsida; Malpighiales; Euphorbiaceae. The record is from RNAcentral.
AGAUAAAGUUUUGGGAUAUGGAUAAUGCCAAUAUGCUUACAAGUACAGAUGCAGAUGGUGGACUACCGAGUCUCCCUCGCCUGAGAUUCAACAAAGAGGGAAAUCUACUUGCUGUUACUACUGCAGAUAACGGAUUCAAGAUACUUGCAAAUGCUUCUGGUCUCAGGUCAUUGAGAACCGUAGAAACUCCAGCUUUUGAAGCAUUGAGAUCGCCUAUUGAAUCAGCUGCUAUCAAGGUUUC